GUGCAGCAGACGAGAAUUUUUCUCAAUGGGGGAAACCCUGAAGGAGCGACGCCGCGUGGAGGAUGAAGGUCUUCGGGUUGUAAACUCCUGUCAUUUGGGAACAAGUGCCAACAAGUAACUACUGUUGGCUUGAUAGUACCAGAAGAGGAAGAGACGGCUAACUCUGUGCCAGCAGCCGCGGUAAUACAGAGGUCUCAAGCGUUGUUCGGAUUCAUUGGGCGUAAAGGGUGCGUAGGUGGCGCCGUAAGUCAGGUGUGAAAUUUCGGAGCUUAACUCCGAAACUGCAUUUGAUACUGCGGUGCUUGAGGACUGGAGAGGAGACUGGAAUUUACGGUGUAGCAGUGAAAUGCGUAGAGAUCGUAAGGAAGACCAGUGGCGAAGGCGGGUCUCUGGACAGUUCCUGACACUGAGGCACGAAGGCCAGGGGAGCAAACGGGAUUAGAUACCCCCGU
This 452-nucleotide ribosomal RNA is filed under the name uncultured organism. RNAcentral's name for it is "bacterial SSU rRNA". It matches the Rfam family "Bacterial small subunit ribosomal RNA", at positions 346 to 791 of the family's 1533-position model. The record is from RNAcentral.